Molecule: ribosomal RNA, 484 nt
Filed under: uncultured bacterium
Lineage: Bacteria
Description: partial 16S ribosomal RNA
Rfam family: Bacterial small subunit ribosomal RNA
Source: RNAcentral
AGUGAACGCUGGCGGCAGGCCUAACACAUGCAAGUCGAGCGGCAGCGCGGGGGCAACCCUGGCGGCGAGCGGCGGACGGGUGAGGAAUUCGUCGGAAUCUGCCUUUUUGUGGGGGAUAACGUCGGGAAACUUACGCUAAUACCGCAUACGUCCUACGGGAGAAAGUGGGGGACCGCAAGGCCUCACGCAGAAAGAUGAGCCGACGACCGAGUAGCUAGUUGGUGGGGUAAAGGCCCACCAAGGCGACGAUCGGUAGCUGGUCUGAGAGGAUGAUCAGCCACACUGGGACUGAGACACGGCCCAGACUCCUACGGGAGGCAGCAGUGGGGAAUAGUGGACAAUGGGCGGAAGCCUGAUCCAGCCAGGCCGCGUGUGUGAAGAAGGCCUUCGGGUUGUAAAGCACUUUUGUCCGGAAAGAAAUCCCUGGAGCUAAUACCUUCGGGGGAUGACGGUACCGGAAGAAUAAGCACCGGCUAACUUCGUG